Molecule: non-coding RNA, 96 nt
Organism: Mycena polygramma
Lineage: Eukaryota; Fungi; Basidiomycota; Agaricomycetes; Agaricales; Mycenaceae
Source: the annotation of a GenBank genome assembly
GCCUUUGUGGAUCACGGUGAUCGCCUCGUCCCAGUAAGGGCGGUAUAUCUCGCAACAUACAAUGAGGAGACGGAGGUUCAAUACCUCCCGAAGGCG